UACGGAGGGUCCAAGCGUUAUCCGGAAUCAUUGGGUUUAAAGGGUGCGCAGGCGGUAAAGUAAGUCAGUGGUGAAAUCCCUUCGCUCAACGAAGGAACUGCCAUUGAUACUGCUAUACUUGAAUAUAGUUGAAGUAGGCGGAAUGUGUAGUGUAGCGGUGAAAUGCUUAGAUAUUACACAGAACACCGAUAGCGAAGGCAGCUUACUAAACUAAUAUUGACGCUCAUGCACGAAAGCGUGGGGAGCGAACAGG
This 253-nucleotide ribosomal RNA is filed under the name uncultured bacterium. RNAcentral describes it as "partial 16S ribosomal RNA". It matches the Rfam family "Bacterial small subunit ribosomal RNA", at positions 524 to 776 of the family's 1533-position model. RNAcentral also lists the same sequence under 1 other name. The record is from RNAcentral.